This 471-nucleotide ribosomal RNA is filed under the name uncultured bacterium. RNAcentral's name for it is "bacterial SSU rRNA". It matches the Rfam family "Bacterial small subunit ribosomal RNA", at positions 28 to 526 of the family's 1533-position model. The record is from RNAcentral.
GAUGAACGCUGGCGGCGUGCCUAACACAUGCAAGUCGAGCGAUUCUCUUCGGAGAAGAGCGGCGGACGGGUGAGUAACGCGUGGGUAACCUGCCCUGUACACACGGAUAACAUACCGAAAGGUAUGCUAAUACGGGAUGAUAUGUUUUGAUCGCAUGGUCGAAAUAUCAAAGCCCCGGCGGUACAGGAUGGACCCGCGUCUGAUUAGCUAGUUGGUGAGGUAAUGGCUCAUCAAGGCGACGAUCAGUAGCCGACCUGAGAGGGUGAUCGGCUACAUUGGAACUGAGACACGGUCCAAACUCCUACGGGAGGCAGCAGUGGGGAAUAUUGCAAAAUGGGCGAAAGCCUGAUGCAGCAACGCCGCGUGAGCGAUGAAGGCCUUCGGGUCGUAAAGCUCUGUCCUCAAGGAGGAUAAUGACGGUACUUGAGGAGGAAGCCCCGGCUAACUACGUGCCAGCAGCCGCGGUAACAC